RNAcentral lists this ribosomal RNA (489 nucleotides) under uncultured bacterium. Its description in RNAcentral is "bacterial SSU rRNA". It matches the Rfam family "Bacterial small subunit ribosomal RNA", at positions 30 to 526 of the family's 1533-position model. The record is from RNAcentral.
AUUGAACGCUGGCGGCACGCUUAACACAUGCAAGUCGAACGGCAGCAUCAUUUGUACUUGUACAGAUGGAUGGCGAGUGGCGAACGGGUGAGUAAUGCGCAGGAAUAUGCCUUAAAGAGGGGGAUAACUUGGGGAAACUCAAGCUAAUACCGCGUGAACUCUGAGGAGUAAAGCUGGGGACCCAAAAGGGCCUGGCGCUUUAAGAAUAGCCUGCGUCCGAUUAGCUAGUUGGUGGGGUAAAGGCCGUACCAAGGCGAUGAUCGGUAGCUGGUCUGAGAGGAUGGACAGCCACACUGGGACUGAGACACGGCCCAGACUCCUACGGGAGGCAGCAGUGGGGAAUAUUGGACAAUGGGGGGAACCCUGAUCCAGCGAUGCCGCGUGUGUGAAGAAGGCCUGCGGGUUGUAAAGCACUUUCAGUUGGGAAGAUAAUGACGUUACCAACAGAAGAAGCACCGGCUAACUCCGUGCCAGCAGCCGCGGUAAAGC